GGAUUAGAUACCCUGGUAGUCCACGCCGUAAACGAUGUCAACUAGUUGUUCGUGUCAUUAAGACGUGAGUAACGCAGCUAACGCACUAAGUUGACCGCCUGGGGAGUACGGCCGCAAGGUUAAAACUCAAAUGAAUUGACGGGGGCCCGCACAAGCGGUGGAGCAUGUGGUUUAAUUCGAUGCAACGCGAAGAACCUUACCAUCCCUUGACAUCCAGUGAACUUUCUAGAGAUAGAUUGGUGCCUUCGGGAACACUGAGACAGGUGCUGCAUGGCUGUCGUCAGCUCGUGCCG
This 293-nucleotide ribosomal RNA is filed under the name uncultured bacterium. RNAcentral describes it as "partial 16S ribosomal RNA". It matches the Rfam family "Bacterial small subunit ribosomal RNA", at positions 775 to 1067 of the family's 1533-position model. The record is from RNAcentral.